This 263-nucleotide long non-coding RNA is filed under the name Lepidothrix coronata (blue-crowned manakin). RNAcentral describes it as "lncRNA (ENSLCOG00000005338.1)". Lineage: Eukaryota; Metazoa; Chordata; Aves; Passeriformes; Pipridae. The record is from RNAcentral.
GCCACGGACCGCAGGAGGCCCAGCAAGGUGUGGGAGAGCUCCAGGGCACAGCACUGCUGCAGGUGCUCCCGAUGAAGCUGAACGCCCGGAGAGCCCUGGAGCGGCCUGGGGCUCUGCCUGGAGGCCCCCGUGCCCCCCGGGGGGGUGCUGAGCGCCGAGGGACCCUUCCCGAGCCGGGGCAGGGGCCCGCGGCCCCAGGUACGGCCCCGCGGCUCCGGGGGGCUGUGGCGCAGCCCGGGGGCCCCUGGCCCUGCUCGGCCCCG